UACGGAGGGUGCAAGCGUUAAUCGGAAUUACUGGGCGUAAAGAGUGCGUAGGUGGUUAUGUGUGUUAGAUGUGAAAUCCAUGGGCUCAACCUGUGAAUUGCAUUUAAAACAGCAUAGCUAGAGUGUUGUAGAGGGUGGCGGAAUUUCCAGUGUAGCGGUGAAAUGCGUAGAUAUUGGAAGGAACACCAGUGGCGAAGGCGGCCACCUGGACAAACACUGACACUGAGGUACGAAAGCGUGGGUAGCGAACAGG
Molecule: ribosomal RNA, 253 nt
Filed under: uncultured bacterium
Lineage: Bacteria
Description: partial 16S ribosomal RNA
Rfam family: Bacterial small subunit ribosomal RNA
Source: RNAcentral